Molecule: ribosomal RNA, 253 nt
Filed under: uncultured bacterium
Lineage: Bacteria
Description: partial 16S ribosomal RNA
Rfam family: Bacterial small subunit ribosomal RNA
Source: RNAcentral
GAUCAUGGCUCAGAACGAACGCUGGCGGCAGGCUUAACAUAUGCAAGUUGAACGGGAUUUGUGUGGUGCUUGCACCAUAUAAUGAGAGUAGCGCACUGGUGAGUAACACGUGGGAACGUACCUUUUGGUGGGGGACAACAUCUGGAAACGGAUGCUAAUACCGCAUAAGACCUGAGGGUGAAAGAUUUAUCGCCGAAAGAACGGCCCGCGGAAGAUUAGGCAGUUGGUGGGGUAAAGGCCUACCAAACCUACG